RNAcentral lists this ribosomal RNA (301 nucleotides) under uncultured bacterium. RNAcentral's name for it is "partial 16S ribosomal RNA". It matches the Rfam family "Bacterial small subunit ribosomal RNA", at positions 509 to 807 of the family's 1533-position model. The record is from RNAcentral.
CAGUAGCCGCGGGAAUACAGAGGGUGCGAGCGUUAAUCGGAUUUACUGGGCAUAAAGCGUGCGUAGGCGGCUUUUUAAGUCGGAUGUGAAAUCCCUGAGCUUAACUUAGGAAUUGCAUUCGAUACUGGGAAGCUAGAGUAUGGGAGAGGAUGGUAGAAUUCCAGGUGUAGCGGUGAAAUGCGUAGAGAUCUGGAGGAAUACCGAUGGCGAAGGCAGCCAUCUGGCCUAAUACUGACGCUGAGGUACGAAAGCAUGGAGAGCAAACAGGAUUAGAUACCCCCGUAGUCCCUGUCUCUUAUAC